RNAcentral lists this transfer RNA (69 nucleotides) under Marmota monax (woodchuck). It matches the Rfam family "tRNA". From Rfam's summary of the family: Transfer RNA (tRNA) molecules are approximately 80 nucleotides in length. Their secondary structure includes four short double-helical elements and three loops (D, anti-codon, and T loops). Lineage: Eukaryota; Metazoa; Chordata; Mammalia; Rodentia; Sciuridae. The record is from Rfam by way of RNAcentral.
GGAGUUGUGGCUCAGUGGUAGAGCGCUUGCCUAGCAUGCAUGAGGCACUGGGUUUGAUUCUCAGCACCA